UGUUUCGAGUUUGGGUGGUCUAUUGCCUAAAGUUCCGUUUUUUGAUGCCAGUUGUGACUUCUUGAUGAGGAAACAACCAUUGGGGCAAAUGCAGCAACAAGUCAAUUUGCUGCCUGCUCAACAGUUUCAGCCGAAGCCAUUAAUUGUACCUAAGCUUGAGGCAGCUGGUGGUGGUGGUAAUGGUAAUUUGAUGGUGCCUCGUCAUCAACUGCAGGAACAACAAUUUAUUUAUGACCAGAUUUUUCAGGCCUCAGAACUAUUGCUGGCCGGACAAUUCUCAAACGCGCAAUUGAUAUUGGCGCGGCUCAAUCAACAGCUUUCUCCCAUUGGGAAACCCUCAAGGAGGGCUGCUUUUUAUAUCAAGGAGGCUCUGCAGUUGCCUUUCCUUGUGCCUUGCACAUCCACUUUUUUGCCUCCAAGAAGUCCCACCCCAUUUGAUUGUGUGCUUAAGAUGGAUGCUUAUAAGUCCUUCUCCGAAAUAUCUCCACUUAUCCAGUUCAUGAAUUUCACCUCCAAUCAGGCUAUUCUUGAAGCUCUUGGGGAUGCUGAGCAAAUUCACAUAAUAGAUUUUGACAUCGGUUUUGGUGCUCAAUGGUCCUCGUUUAUGCAAGAACAAGUCAAUUUGCUGCCUGCUCAACAGUUUCAGCCGAAGCCAUUAAUUGUACCUAAGCUUGAGGCAGCUGGUGGUGGUGGUAAUGGUAAUUUGAUGGUGCCUCGUCAUCAACUGCAGGAACAACAAUUUAUUUAUGACCAGAUUUUUCAGGCCUCAGAACUAUUGCUGGCCGGACAAUUCUCAAACGCGCAAUUGAUAUUGG
This 815-nucleotide long non-coding RNA is filed under the name Capsicum annuum. RNAcentral's name for it is "long non-coding RNA (CANN_LNC000137)". Lineage: Eukaryota; Viridiplantae; Streptophyta; Magnoliopsida; Solanales; Solanaceae. The record is from RNAcentral.